GUAUGUAUGUAGUAGCAUCAUGGUAAACUGUCAUGUAAUGAGAUCCAAAAGGAUUUUUUUUUAUAGAUUGUCAUGAUUGUUGUGAUGGCACAGUGAUGCUAUAGCUAUUAUUUGUGUUUCUGAAUUUUAGUUCUAAAGAAUAUUUAUUUUUAAAUAUUUUGUACUAGUUAUAGGGUGCUUAACUUUUCUUAAGGGGGCAUGCUCCAGUCAUGCUUCAUAAUCAACUAAAUUUUUCCCACAAAAGGGGGCCCAGGCUCAACCUAUGAUUUGGAAUAAAUUGUAUAUAACUGGAAUUUCAAAAUUAAAUAUAAAUAUAUUUUUGUGGCUAUAACAUCAUGAUACAAUGAUUAUGGUAUCC
RNAcentral lists this long non-coding RNA (358 nucleotides) under Mytilus galloprovincialis (Mediterranean mussel). Lineage: Eukaryota; Metazoa; Mollusca; Bivalvia; Mytilida; Mytilidae. The record is from RNAcentral.